This 607-nucleotide ribosomal RNA is filed under the name uncultured bacterium. Its description in RNAcentral is "bacterial SSU rRNA". It matches the Rfam family "Bacterial small subunit ribosomal RNA", at positions 65 to 674 of the family's 1533-position model. The record is from RNAcentral.
CACGGUACAGGUUAAGCUGACGAGUGGCGAACGGGUGAGUAAUACAUCGGAAGGUGCCCAGUAGUGGGGGAUAGCCCGGCGAAAGCCGGAUUAAUACCACAUACGACCUAAGGGUGAAAGGGGGGGAUCGCAAGACCUCUCGCUAUUGGAGCGGCCGAUGUCAGAUUAGCUAGUUGGUGGGGUAAAAGCUCACCAAGGCGACGAUCUGUAGCUGGUCUGAGAGGACGACCAGCCACACUGGGACUGAGACACGGCCCAGACUCCUACGGGAGGCAGCAGUGGGGAAUUUUGGACAAUGGGCGCAAGCCUGAUCCAGCCAUGCCGCGUGCGGGAAGAAGGCCUUCGGGUUGUAAACCGCUUUUGUUAGGGAAGAAAUCCUUUGGGUUAAUACCUCGGGGGGAUGACGGUACCUGAAGAAUAAGCACCGGCUAACUACGUGCCAGCAACCGCGGUAAUACGUAGGGUGCAAGCGUUAAUCGGAAUUACUGGGCGUAAAGCGUGCGCAGGCGGUUCUAUAAGACAGAUGUGAAAUCCCCGGGCUCAACCUGGGAACUGCAUUUAUGACUGUAGAGCUGGAGUGCGGCAGAAGGGGGAUGGAAUUCCGCGU